Molecule: ribosomal RNA, 253 nt
Filed under: uncultured bacterium
Lineage: Bacteria
Description: partial 16S ribosomal RNA
Rfam family: Bacterial small subunit ribosomal RNA
Source: RNAcentral
UACGGGGGGGGCAAGCGUUGUUCGGAAUUACUGGGCGUAAAGGGCUCGUAGGCGGCCAACUAAGUCGGAUGUGAAAUCCCCAGGCUUAACUUGGGAACUGCAUCCGAUACUGGAUGGCUUGAAUUCGGGAGAGGGAUGCAGAAUUCCAGGUGUAGCGGUGAAAUGCGUAGAUAUCUGGAGGAAUACCGGUGGCGAAGGCGGCAUCCUGGACCGACAUUGACGCUGAGGAGCGAAAGCUAGGGGAGCAAACGGG